AUGCCAGGAACAACACAGUUUCUGUGCUUGGCCGUAGCUCUUCUGGUCAUGUCGGCCUCCCUGUCAUGCAAUGCCAAGCACACGUACCGUGAAUCUAUGUGGGAAUCCAAGAGACAGGUGCAUGAUUUUGGCGGGCACAACUGCCAAAACACCUGUGUAAGAAAAAGCACAGAUACUGACAUAUACUGUGAAUAUAUGUGGGAAUGCAACAAACCGGUGCAUGAUCAUGACCAGCACAAGUGCCGAAACUUCUGCGUAAGCAAAGGCUACGACUACCUCGGGAGCUAUUGUGAGCACCACCCCUACCCGUAUUGCUGUUGCCAUAAGUAA
RNAcentral lists this ribosomal RNA (330 nucleotides) under Triticum aestivum (bread wheat). RNAcentral's name for it is "partial small subunit ribosomal RNA". The record is from RNAcentral. Lineage: Eukaryota; Viridiplantae; Streptophyta; Magnoliopsida; Poales; Poaceae.